GACGAACGCUGGCGGCGUGCUUAACACAUGCAAGUCGAACGGAAAGGCCCUGCUUUUGUGGGGUGCUCGAGUGGCGAACGGGUGAGUAACACGUGAGUAACCUGCCCUUGACUUUGGGAUAACUUCAGGAAACUGGGGCUAAUACCGGAUAGGAGCUCCUGCUGCAUGGUGGGGGUUGGAAAGUUUCGGCGGUUGGGGAUGGACUCGCGGCUUAUCAGCUUGUUGGUGGGGUAGUGGCUUACCAAGGCUUUGACGGGUAGCCGGCCUGAGAGGGUGACCGGCCACAUUGGGACUGAGAUACGGCCCAGACUCCUACGGGAGGCAGCAGUGGGGAAUAUUGCACAAUGGGCGGAAGCCUGAUGCAGCAACGCCGCGUGCGGGAUGACGGCCUUCGGGUUGUAAACCGCUUUCGCCUGUGACGAAGCGUGAGUGACGGUAAUGGGUAAAGAAGCACCGGCUAACUACGUGCCAGCAGCCGCGGUGAUACGUAGGGUGCGAGCGUUGUCCGGAUUUAUUGGGCGUAAAGGGCUCGUAGGUGGUUGAUCGCGUCGGAAGUGUAAUCUUGGGGCUUAACCCUGAGCGUGCUUUCGAUACGGGUUGACUUGAGGAAGGUAGGGGAGAAUGGAAUUCCUGGUGGAGCGGUGGAAUGCGCAGAUAUCAGGAGGAACACCAGUGGCGAAGGCGGUUCUCUGGGCCUUUCCUGACGCUGAGGAGCGAAAGCGUGGGGAGCGAACAGGCUUAGAUACCCUGGUAGUCCACGCUGUAAACGGUGGGUACUAGGUGUGGGGUCCAUUCCACGGGUUCCGUGCCGUAGCUAACGCUUUAAGUACCCCGCCUGGGGAGUACGGCCGCAAGGCUAAAACUCAAAGGAAUUGACGGGGCCCCGCACAAGCGGCGGAGCAUGCGGAUUAAUUCGAUGCAACGCGUAGAACCUUACCUGGGUUUGACAUGGAUCGGGAGUGCUCAGAGAUGGGUGUGCCUCUUUUGGGGUCGGUUCACAGGUGGUGCAUGGCUGUCGUCAGCUCGUGUCGUGAGAUGUUGGGUUAAGUCCCGCAACGAGCGCAACCCUUGUUCACUGUUGCCAGCACGUUAUGGUGGGGACUCAGUGGAGACCGCCGGGGUCAACUCGGAGGAAGGUGGGGAUGACGUCAAGUCAUCAUGCCCCUUAUGUCCAGGGCUUCACGCAUGCUACAAUGGCUGGUACAGAGAGUGGCGAGCCUGUGAGGGUGAGCGAAUCUCGGAAAGCCGGUCUCAGUUCGGAUUGGGGUCUGCAACUCGACCUCAUGAAGUCGGAGUCGCUAGUAAUCGCAGAUCAGCAACGGUGCGGUGAAUACGUUCCCGGG
This 1343-nucleotide ribosomal RNA is filed under the name uncultured bacterium. RNAcentral describes it as "16S ribosomal RNA". It matches the Rfam family "Bacterial small subunit ribosomal RNA", at positions 28 to 1378 of the family's 1533-position model. The record is from RNAcentral.